This 65-nucleotide transfer RNA is filed under the name marine eukaryotic metagenome. It matches the Rfam family "tRNA", at positions 5 to 66 of the family's 71-position model. From Rfam's summary of the family: Transfer RNA (tRNA) molecules are approximately 80 nucleotides in length. Their secondary structure includes four short double-helical elements and three loops (D, anti-codon, and T loops). The record is from RNAcentral.
CCGUAGCUCAAUUGGAUAGAGCGUCUGACUACGAAUCAGGAGGUUGGGAGUUCGAAUCUUCCCGG